Molecule: ribosomal RNA, 602 nt
Filed under: Entoloma nitidum
Lineage: Eukaryota; Fungi; Basidiomycota; Agaricomycetes; Agaricales; Entolomataceae
Description: Entocybe nitida partial 12S ribosomal RNA
Rfam family: Bacterial small subunit ribosomal RNA
Source: RNAcentral
AAUAUUAGUCAAUGCUCGCAAGAGUGAACUAGCUAACUGAAAUCAUAUGACUCACUCUGUUGAGAAUUAUGAUAACGUAAGGGAAAAAAAUGAUAUUACCUUACUAUUAGUGUUGUCCAAAACUGGUGCCAGAAGACUCGGUAAGGCCAGAGACGCAAACGUUAGUCGUCCUAAUCAGGCGUAAAGGGUAUGUAGGCUGCUUUAAAAAUUUUAUCAUUUAAAAAAGCUCUUUAAUUAUAUAAAUAAAUUCAAUUUAUAUAUUAUAGUAAAUAUAAAAUUAAUUAAAGCUAGGAUCAAAUUGAGGAUAAACCAAAUAAUACUUAGUGUAGGGUUGAUAUCUAUAGAUACUAAGGGGAAUACUAAAGGUGAAAGCUUUUUAUCUAAUAAUGAUUGACGCUGAGAAACGAAGGUGAGAAUAGGAAAUAGGAUUAGAUACCCAGAUACCUCUCACUGUCAACGAUGAAUGGUGGUUGUUAGUUUUAAUAAAAACUGGUAACGAUGUUAACACGAUAACCAUUCCGCCUUGCGAGUACGGUUGCAAAACUGAAACCAAAAAAAUUAGUCGGUCUCGAAGCAAACGAAGUGAAGCAUGUUAUUUAAUU